GUGGGAAUCUGCCUUGUGGUUCAGGACAACAUUGGGAAACCGAUGCUAAUACUGGAUAAGCCCUUACGGGGAAAGUUUUAAUGCCAUAAGAUGAGCCCGCAUUUGAUUAGUUAGUUGGUGAGGUAAUGGCUCACCAAGACAAUGAUCAAUAGCUGAUCUGAGAGGAUGAUCAGCCACACUGGGACUGAGACACGGCCCAGACUCCUACGGGAGGCAGCAGUGGGGAAUCUUGCACAAUGGAGGAAACUCUGAUGCAGCGAUGCCGCGUGAGUGAAGAAGGCCUUUGGGUUGUAAAGCUCUUUUGUAGGGGAAGAUAAUGACUGUACCCUAAGAAUAAGGUCCGGCUAACUUCGUGCCAGCAGCCGCGGUAAUACGAAGGGACCUAGCGUAGUUCGGAAUUACUGGGCGUAAAGCGCGCGUAGGCCGUUGAGUUAGUUAAUUGUGAAAUCCCAAAGCUUAACUUUGGAACUGCAAUUAAAACUGCUCGACUAGAGUUUGAUAGAGGAAAGCGGAAUACAUAGUGUAGAGGUGAAAUUCGUAGAUAUUAUGU
Molecule: ribosomal RNA, 550 nt
Filed under: uncultured bacterium
Lineage: Bacteria
Description: bacterial SSU rRNA
Rfam family: Bacterial small subunit ribosomal RNA
Source: RNAcentral